This 200-nucleotide unclassified non-coding RNA is filed under the name Agaricales sp. RNAcentral describes it as "partial internal transcribed spacer 2". The record is from RNAcentral. Lineage: Eukaryota; Fungi; Basidiomycota; Agaricomycetes; Agaricales.
UUAAGUUCAGCGGGUAGUCCUACCUGAUUUGAGGUCAAAUUGUCAUGUAUUGUCCAAAUGAACAGACAGUUAGAAGCAGUGCAAAACCUAUUUGCAGACAUCCAACGGCGUAGAUAAUUAUCACACCAACGGAUAGUCCACGCAGGGCACCGGCUAAUACAUUUAAGGGGAGCUGACAUCCGAAGAAAGCCAGCAAAAGA